This 1198-nucleotide ribosomal RNA is filed under the name metagenome. RNAcentral describes it as "SSU rRNA". It matches the Rfam family "Eukaryotic small subunit ribosomal RNA", at positions 573 to 1786 of the family's 1831-position model. The record is from RNAcentral.
GCCGCGGUAAUUCCAGCUCCAAUAGCGUAUAUUAAAGUUGUUGCAGUUAAAAAGCUCGUAGUUGGACCUGGGGUUCGGGUCGGCGGUUUGCCGCUUCGGCGGCUACUGCCGUGCUCGACUCUUACUAGCCGGUGCGUCUUGCGGUGCUCUUCAUCGAGUGCCGUAGGAGCCUGGCAUGUUUACUUUGAAAAAAUCAGAGUGCUCAAAGCAGGCGAUUCCGCCUGAAUAGUGUUGCAUGGAAUAAUGGAAUAGGACCUCGGUUCUAUUUUGUUGGUUUUCGGAACUUGAGGUAAUGAUUAAGAGGGACGGUCGGGGGCAUUCGUAUUUCGGUGUUGGAGGUGAAAUUCUUGGUUCGCUGAAAGACGGACAAAUGCGAAAGCAUCUGCCAAGAACGUCUCCAUUAAUCAAGAACGAAAGUCAGAGGUUCGAAGACGAUCAGACACCGUCCUAGUUCUGACCAUAAACGAUGCCAACUAGCGAUCCGCAGUGGUUGCUAUAAACGGACUCUGCGAGCAGCUUCCGGGAAACCAAAGUGUUUGGGUUCCGGGGGAAGUAUGGUUGCAAAGCUGAAACUUAAAGGAAUUGACGGAAGGGCACCACCAGGAGUGGAGCCUGCGGCUUAAUUUGACCCAACACGGGGAAACUCACCCGGUCCGGACACUGUAAGGAUUGACAGAUCGAGAGCUCUUUCUUGAUUCGGUGGAUGGUGGUGCAUGGCCGUUCUUAGUUGGUGGAGUGAUUUGUCUGGUUAAUUCCGAUAACGGACGAGACUCUAGCCUGCUAACUAGUUGCGCCGUGUUCAUACGCGGCUGUAGACUUCUUAGAGGGACAGGUGGCGUUUAGCCACACGAAAUUGAGUAAUAACAGGUCUGUGAUGCCCUUAGAUGUCCGGGGCCGCACGCGCGCUACACUGAAGGAGUCAGCGUGUGCUAUCCGGGCUCGGAAGAGUUCGGUAACCCGUUGAAACUCCUUCGUGCUUGGGAUUGUGGCUUGUAAUUAUCGCGCAUGAACGAGGAAUUCCCAGUAAGUGCAAGUCAUCAGCUUGCGCUGACUACGUCCCUGCCCUUUGUACACACCGCCCGUCGCUACUACCGAUUGAAUGGUUUAGCAAGGUACUCGGAUUGGUCUCGAUCUUGUACGAAAGUGCGGAAUCUGUGGCCGAGAAGAAGGCCAAACUUGAUCAUUUAGAGGAAGUAAA